Molecule: ribosomal RNA, 257 nt
Filed under: uncultured bacterium
Lineage: Bacteria
Description: partial 16S ribosomal RNA
Rfam family: Bacterial small subunit ribosomal RNA
Source: RNAcentral
GUCCACACCGUAAACGAUGGUUACUAGGUGUUCGGGAGCAAUCCGGAGUGCCCAAGCGAAAGCGAUAAGUAACCCACCUGGGGAGUACGACCGCAAGGUUGAAACUCAAAGGAAUUGACGGGGCCCGCACAAGCGGUGGAGCAUGUGGUUUAAUUCGAUGGUACGCGAGGAACCUUACCUGGGCUAGAAUGUGAGUGCCGGACUCUGAAAAGGGUCUUUCCUUCGGGACACAAAACAAGGUGCUGCAUGGCUGUCGU